RNAcentral lists this ribosomal RNA (301 nucleotides) under uncultured bacterium. Its description in RNAcentral is "partial 16S ribosomal RNA". It matches the Rfam family "Bacterial small subunit ribosomal RNA", at positions 509 to 807 of the family's 1533-position model. The record is from RNAcentral.
CAGUAGCCGCGGUAAUACAGAGGGUGCAAGCGUUAAUCGGAAUUACUGGGCGUAAAGCGCGCGUAGGUGGUUUGUUAAGUUGGAUGUGAAAUCCCCGGGCUCAACCUGGGAACUGCAUCCAAAACUGGCAGGCUAGAGUAGGGCAGAGGGUGGUGGAAUUUCCUGUGUAGCGGUGAAAUGCGUAGAUAUAGGAAGGAACACCAGUGGCGAAGGCGACCACCUGGGCUCAUACUGACACUGAGGUGCGAAAGCGUGGGGAGCAAACAGGAUUAGAUACCCCGGUAGUCCCUGUCUCUUAUAC